CGCGGGGUAGAGCAGCUUGGUAGCUCGCAAGGCUCAUAACCUUGAGGUCACGGGUUCAAAUCCUGUC
RNAcentral lists this transfer RNA (67 nucleotides) under Itea omeiensis. Its description in RNAcentral is "tRNA-fMet". It matches the Rfam family "tRNA". Rfam says of the family: Transfer RNA (tRNA) molecules are approximately 80 nucleotides in length. The record is from RNAcentral. RNAcentral also lists the same sequence under 1 other name. Lineage: Eukaryota; Viridiplantae; Streptophyta; Magnoliopsida; Saxifragales; Iteaceae.